Molecule: long non-coding RNA, 210 nt
Organism: Ooceraea biroi (clonal raider ant)
Lineage: Eukaryota; Metazoa; Arthropoda; Insecta; Hymenoptera; Formicidae
Source: RefSeq, a predicted model, not a curated record
CGGAGACGUGUAUAAGAGACAGAGAGAGGCAGAACAAGCACAGAAUAAAAUUUCUGAUCAAGACCAGACCCAGGAUCUAUGUAACUUUUGUUCCGAGCAAUCGUUACUUUAGGCAGUCUAUAAACAGAGCGAUCAGGUAAUUGUCUAUGAAUUGUGUAACACUCCUAAGAUUGUUAUUUGGACUUAAUAAAGCAAUGUCAGAAAUCUUUA